UCCUCAGUAGCUCAGCGGUAGAGCAGUCGACUGUUAAUUGGCUAGUUGUAGGUUCGAAUCCUACUUGAGGAG
Non-coding RNA from Gossypium arboreum, 72 nucleotides. NCBI's taxonomy places the organism in Eukaryota, Viridiplantae, Streptophyta, Magnoliopsida, Malvales, Malvaceae. The record is from Rfam.